CCUACGGGUGGCAGCAGCAGGGAAUUUUGCGCAAUGGGCGAAAGCCUGACGCAGCAACGCCGCGUGGGGGAUGAAGGCCUUCGGGUUGUAAACCCCUUUUGCCGGGGAAGAUCGUGACGGUACCCGGCGAAUAAGUCACGGCUAACUACGUGCCAGCAGCCGCGGUAAAACGUAGGAUCCGAGCGUUAUCCGAAUUUACUGGGCGUAAAGCGCGUGCAGGCGGUUCGGUAAGCUGGGUGUGAAAUCUCCCGGCUCAACUGGGAGAGGUCGCUCAAUACUGUCGGACUAGAGGAUGGUAGAGGGAGGUGGAAUUCCCGGUGUAGCGGUGAAAUGCGUAGAGAUCGGGAGGAACACCCGUGGCGUAGGCGGCGUCCUGGCCGACACCUGACGCUGAAGCGCGAAAGCGUGGGGAGCGAACGGGAUUAGAUACCCGAUAGU
This 438-nucleotide ribosomal RNA is filed under the name uncultured bacterium. Its description in RNAcentral is "partial 16S ribosomal RNA". It matches the Rfam family "Bacterial small subunit ribosomal RNA", at positions 338 to 794 of the family's 1533-position model. The record is from RNAcentral.